Long non-coding RNA from Bos taurus (domestic cattle), 1505 nucleotides. The record is from Ensembl. NCBI's taxonomy places the organism in Eukaryota, Metazoa, Chordata, Mammalia, Artiodactyla, Bovidae.
GAUGCUGAAGCUCCAAUACUUUGGCCACCUGAUGGAAGAUCCGACUCACUGGAAAAGAGCCUGAUGCUGGUAAAAGAUUGAAGGCAGGAGGAGAAGGGGACAACAGAGGAUGAAAUGGUUGGAUGCCAUCAUGGACUCAAUGGACAUGAGUUUGAGCAAACUCCAGGAGAUGGUGAAAGACAGGGAAGCCUGGCAUGCUGCAGUCCAUAGGAUCGCAAAGAGUUGGACACUACUGAGCGACUGAACAACUGCUUUUCUAGCCAAGAUGAAAUAUACGUAUUCAUUAAUUCCCUCACUGGAUAACAUUUGGUCCUAAGUCCAUAGCUGCUGAGGAGGAGAAAUGAAGACAUGAAGCCCACUGUGAAGAGUUGCAUUAACAGGAACAGAACAAACACACUUGGGAAAAUUACAGUGCAAUGGGACAAUCCAGUGUGUACAUUUUUCAGAAGGUAGAGAAAUUGUUUUCAUAUCCUUGAAGAGGAUUUGGAGGAAAUGAACAACAGGGAAGAGGUUUCUGGAGAGGAUGCUGUUAGGACAGGAAAAAUCUGCAUUCGUUGGGGUGGGCCUGGGAAAGUAUUUCCAGAAGAGAAACUAAAUGAGAAAAAGUCCAGAGGCAGGAAGCUCUAUGUGUGUGUGUGUGUGUGUGUGUGUGUGUGUGUGUGUGUGUGUGUGUGUGGUGGUGGUGGUGGUAAUGGUGGAAGGCUGGAGGUAUGAUCUAUAGUUGAAAAGCUCAUCAUAAAACCAGGGAGGGACAGCUGAAGAGCAUGAAUUUAAUGUGUUUGAUAUACCAAGUAUAUUUCAAAUUAUCAUGUGGCAUGUUAAGCUCUGGGAAGGUGACUUCAGGCAGCAGGCUGAAAGUAGCAUCAAAUUGAAGAGCCUGUUAGAGAGCAUAAAGUCUGAGAAUCCAACUGUGUGUGUGGAUAACGAAACUGAGACCAAAGACGAAGUGCCUUGCCGGUUUCAGGGCAAGGAAAGGACUACAAACUUUCCUUUCUUUUAUCUCCCCUUGUCCAUCCUACUUCUAUUUCCAGGUGGGCAGGCCCUUCUGACUCUUCCUCUCUCUUCCCACUGGUCUGCUUACAUCCAGUCUCCAUCUCUUGAGGAAGUUAUCUGGUUUCAUCUAAACGCCCAGGCCCUACACCUGCUGUAGCUUCCUCUGCCUUUGACCAGGAACAAGAAGAAGGGAAAAAAACCAAAACAAAGCAGUUGAAUACCUGCAAUGACAAAGGCGGUCACUUUGUUAAAGACUCAGUGACACAUUAAGACUCUCAGUCCAGUAGCAGAGGAAGACAAGGUGACCAAUGACAUUAUGCAUUUAUAGGGACUAAGCACAGAGUGACAGAUGUACUCUGUAGGGGCAACACAUCCCCUGGAGGUAGUGGAGGGGCAAAAUGACCUCUGAGAGGGACUUUCCUGGUGGUCCAGAGGCUGACUCUGUGCUCCCGAAGCAGGGUGUCUGGGUUUGAUCCCUGGUCAGGGAACUAGAUUCCACUGCUGCAACUAAA